Molecule: ribosomal RNA, 188 nt
Filed under: uncultured Staphylococcus sp.
Lineage: Bacteria; Bacillati; Bacillota; Bacilli; Caryophanales; Staphylococcaceae
Description: partial 16S ribosomal RNA
Rfam family: Bacterial small subunit ribosomal RNA
Source: RNAcentral
ACGGAACGGAGCUAAUACCGGAUAAUAUUUUGAACCGCAUGGUUCAAAAGUGAAAGACGGUCUUGCUGUCACUUAUAGAUGGAUCCGCGCUGCAUUAGCUAGUUGGUAAGGUAACGGCUUACCAAGGCAACGAUGCGUAGCCGACCUGAGAGGGUGAUCGGCCACACUGGAACUGAGACACGGUCCAG